CUUACAGUCGUUAAUUUGAUGGAGUUCAAAAUGUUUAGUUUAGAGAGACUGUUUUCAAGAACAUUUUUGAGUCAGAGGAACGUUGUUGUCAAGAGCUCUCCACGGUUGUGUUCUUGCACAGUUUUUUUCCCAAAGCCCCUGUUUUUGAGAUAGCACAGAGACACUCUCCUCUUCUUCACCCUCGAAGACCAUCCUCGAAGACCAUCCCUGCGAGCAAGACCUACCCUCGACUUCGCCUAAAGGUCCUCAAUUUCUACACUUAACGUAGAAGUGAAGCUAUACCUCCCCCCUCCCUCCCUCCGUAGCAAUUGCAUUGGCAGCGAUCGGAUGGCCCCGGUGGGUAGGCGAAACUAGUUGUCAGAGAUGGGGGCACGGAGGGGGGUCUUGGCAGGGGAUGGUGUGGGCUUGUGAGGGAAUUGGUGCUAGAGUCGCUGACGAAGGUGUAGAUUAGAGGGGAAAUGAGGAGAAGGAAAAUGAUUGGAAUGUAAAAAUUCUAAAGACUGAACAUGGUUGCAGCUUGUCGUGUUCUUCUUCUGGACCUCUGGUGGAACCCAACAACUGAAGAUCAAGCAAUAGAUAGAGCCCAUCGGAUUGGACAGACCCGUUCGGUUACAGUUUUGCGGUUGACAGUAAAAAAUACAGUUGAAGAUCGCAUUUUAGCUCUUCAG
Molecule: non-coding RNA, 668 nt
Organism: Camellia sinensis
Lineage: Eukaryota; Viridiplantae; Streptophyta; Magnoliopsida; Ericales; Theaceae
Source: RefSeq, a predicted model, not a curated record